CCUACGGGAGGCAGCAGUGGGGAAUAUUGCACAAUGGGCGCAAGCCUGAUGCAGCGACGCCGCGUGAGGGAUGACGGCCUUCGGGUUGUAAACCUCUUUCAGCAGGGACGAAGCGCAAGUGACGGUACCUGCAGAAGAAGCACCGGCCAACUACGUGCCAGCAGCCGCGGUAAUACGUAGGGUGCAAGCGUUGUCCGGAAUUACUGGGCGUAAAGAGCUCGUAGGCGGUUUGUCGCGUCGUCUGUGAAAACCAGCAGCUACAACUGUUGGCUUGCAGGCGAUACGGGCAGACUUGAGUAUUUCAGGGGGAGACUGGAAUUCCUGGUGUAGCGGUGAAAUGCGCAGAUAUCAGGAGGAACACCGGUGGCGAAGGCGGGUCUCUGGGAAAUAACUGACGCUGAGGAGCGAAAGCGUGGGUAGCGAACAGGAUUAGAUACCCUGGUAGUCCACGCCGUAAACGGUGGGCGCUAGGUGUGGGUUUCCUUCCGACGGGUAUCCGUGCCGUAGCUAACGCAUUAAGCGCCCGCCUGGGGAGUCGGGCCGCGAAGGCUAAAACGUCAAAGUUAGUUAGUAGGCGNGAGAGNGCGACGACGACGACGACGGAGGAGG
This 609-nucleotide ribosomal RNA is filed under the name uncultured bacterium. RNAcentral's name for it is "bacterial SSU rRNA". It matches the Rfam family "Bacterial small subunit ribosomal RNA", at positions 338 to 953 of the family's 1533-position model. The record is from RNAcentral.